RNAcentral lists this transfer RNA (75 nucleotides) under subsurface metagenome. Its description in RNAcentral is "tRNA-Ala". It matches the Rfam family "tRNA". Rfam says of the family: Transfer RNA (tRNA) molecules are approximately 80 nucleotides in length. Their secondary structure includes four short double-helical elements and three loops (D, anti-codon, and T loops). The record is from RNAcentral.
GGGCCUGUAGUUCAAUUGGCUAGAAUGCCGCAUUCGCAUUGCGGAGGUCGUGGGUUCGAGUCCCACCAGGUCCAC